Molecule: ribosomal RNA, 440 nt
Filed under: uncultured bacterium
Lineage: Bacteria
Description: partial 16S ribosomal RNA
Rfam family: Bacterial small subunit ribosomal RNA
Source: RNAcentral
CCUACGUGUGGCAGCAGUGGGGAAUAUUGCACAAUGGGGGAAACCCUGAUGCAGCGACGCCGCGUGAGUGAAGAAGUAUUUCUGUAUGUAAAGCUCUAUCAGCAGGGAAGAAAAUGACGGUACCUUACUAAGAAGCCCCUGCUAACUGCGUGCCAGCAGCCGCGGUAAGACGUAGGGGGCAAGCGGUAUCCGGGUUUGCUGGGUGUAAAGGGAGCGUAGACGGCAGAGCAAGGCUGAGGUGAAAGCCCGCGGCCCAACUGCGGGACUGCUUUGGAAACUGGCCGGCUAGAGUGCGGGAGAGGUAAGCGGAAUUCGUAGUGUAGCGGUGAAAUGCGUAGAUAUUAGGAGGAACACCAGUGGCGAAGGCGGCUUACUGGACAGUAACUGACGUUGAGGCUCGAAAGCGUGGGGAGCAAACAGGAUUAGAUACCCGAGUAGUC